CCCUUAGAUGUUCUGGGCUGCACGCGCGCUACACUGAUGCACUCAACGAGUUUACGACCUUGCCCGAUAGGGUUGGGUAAUCUUUUUAAAAUGCAUCGUGAUGGGGAUAGAUUAUUGCAAUUAUUAAUCUUCAACGAGGAAUUCCUAGUAAGCGCGAGUCAUCAGCGCGUGCUGAUUACGUCCCUGCCCUUUGUACACACCGCCCGUCGCUCCUACCGAUUGAGUGCUCAGGUGAAUAAUUCGGACUGCAGCAAUGUUUGGAUCCCGAACGUUGCAGCGGAAAGUUUAGUGAACCUUAUCACUUAGAGGAAGGAGAAGUCGUAACA
Molecule: ribosomal RNA, 326 nt
Filed under: uncultured eukaryote
Lineage: Eukaryota
Description: partial 18S ribosomal RNA
Rfam family: Eukaryotic small subunit ribosomal RNA
Source: RNAcentral